AAAGUGAUUGAUUCUAUCACUUUUAUUAAAGUUAAUUUUUAUUAAACAUGUAAAUUUUAUUGAGUUUAUACCAUUUAUUAAAUAUAAAUGAUUUUUUUAUUAUUCAGUUUUUAAUAUUAUUUAUUGUUAAUAUCAAUUAUAGUAAUUGAUUUUUAUACUAACAAAUUUUAGUGCCAGCAGUUGCGGUUAUUCUAAUAGUAUAACUUUAAUUUUAUCGGUUAGGUAUUAUUUUUAUAAAUUUUUAUUUUUAAAAUAUUUUAUUAGGUGAAAUUUUAAAUUAUUAAUUAUGUAAUGGUAUAUUAAAUAUUAGUUUUAUUUAAAAACUAGGAUUAGAUACCCUAUUAUUUUAAAUUUAAUUUAUUACCUUGUUAUUAAUAGUUAUUUUCUUAAAAACAAAAGAAUUUGGCGGUAAUUAUUAAUUGUUUAGAGGAACCUGUUCUGUAAUCGAUAAACCACGAGUUAUUUUACUUUAAUUGUUGCUUAUAUACCUCUAUCAUUGAAUGUUUUAUAAGAAUAAAUUUUCUAUAAUUAUUUUAUACAAAAUGUUAGGUCAAGGUUUAGUUUAUUAAAGAAGAAAUGGGUUACAUUAAUUUUAAUUGUGGUUUUAAUUAUUUAUGUUUUUAAGUAAGUUGGAUUUAAUUGUAAUUUUUUCUUAAUUGAAAAAAUGAAAUUAUUAUGAUUAUGCACAUAUCGCCCGUCAUUCUCAUAUAAUUGGGACAAGUCGUAACAAAGUAGGACUACUGGAAAGUGGCCCUGGUUAGUUU
Molecule: non-coding RNA, 764 nt
Filed under: Tingis cardui
Lineage: Eukaryota; Metazoa; Arthropoda; Insecta; Hemiptera; Tingidae
Source: RNAcentral